RNAcentral lists this ribosomal RNA (735 nucleotides) under uncultured Thermodesulfovibrio sp. RNAcentral describes it as "bacterial SSU rRNA". It matches the Rfam family "Bacterial small subunit ribosomal RNA", at positions 28 to 774 of the family's 1533-position model. Lineage: Bacteria; Pseudomonadati; Nitrospirota; Thermodesulfovibrionia; Thermodesulfovibrionales; Thermodesulfovibrionaceae. The record is from RNAcentral.
AGCGAACGCUGGCGGCGUGCCUAACACAUGCAAGUCGAGCGGACCAGAAAUGGAGGUAACUUUAUUUCUGGUUAGCGGCGAACGGGUGAGUAACACGUGGGUAACCUGCCCUCAGGAGGAGGAUAACUCGGGGAAACCUGAGCUAAUACUCCAUAAGACACGAGCUGAAAUGCUUGUGGUAAAAGAAGCAAUUCACCUGAGGAUGGGCCCGCGGCCUAUCAGGUAGUUGGUAGGGUAAUGGCCUACCAAGCCUAUGACGGGUAGCCGAGCUGAGAGGCUGGCCGGCCACACUGGGACUGAGACAUGGCCCAGACUCCUACGGGAGGCAGCAGUGGGGAAUAUUGGGCAAUGGGCGAAAGCCUGACCCAGCGACGCCGCGUGGGGGAAGAAGGCCUUCGGGUUGUAAACCCCUUUUGCAGGGGACGACACAGGACGGUACCCUGCGAAUAAGCCACGGCUAACUCUGUGCCAGCAGCCGCGGUAAGACAGAGGUGGCAAGCGUUGCUCGGAUUCACUGGGCUUAAAGGGCGCGUAGGUGGUUUUGUAAGUCUAAGGUGGAAUUCCACAGCUUAACUGUGGGACUGCCUUUGAUACUGCAAGGCUUGAGUCAGGCAGAGGAGGGCGGAAUUCCCGGUGUAGCGGUGAAAUGCGUAGAUAUCGGGAGGAAGGCCUGUGGCGAAGGCGGCCCUCUGGGCCUGCACUGACACUGAGGCGCGAAAGCGUGGGGAGCAAACA